GGGGGCAAGCGUUAUCCGGAAUUACUGGGUGUAAAGGGAGAGUAGGCGGCAUGGUAAGUUAGAUGUGAAAGCCCGAGGCUUAACCUCGGGAUUGCAUUUAAAACUAUCAAGCUAGAGUACAGGAGAGGUAAGUGGAAUUCCUAGUGUAGCGGUGAAAUGCGUAGAUAUUAGGAAGAACACCAGUGGCGAAGGCGACUUACUGGACUGAAACUGACGCUGAGGCUCGAAAGCGUGGGGAGCGAACAGGAUUAGAUACCCUGGUAGUCCACGCCGUAAACGAUGAGUGCUAGGUGUCGGGGGGGAACCCUCGGUGCCGCAGCUAACGCAAUAAGCACUCCACCUGGGGAGUACGAUCGCAAGAUUGAAACUCAAAGAGUUUGAUCCUGGCUCCGCACAAGCGUGGAGCAUGUGGUUUAAUUCGAAGCAACGCGAAGAACCUUACCAAGGCUUGACAUCCCUCUGACCGGUGUAGAGAU
RNAcentral lists this ribosomal RNA (476 nucleotides) under uncultured Bacillota bacterium. RNAcentral's name for it is "bacterial SSU rRNA". It matches the Rfam family "Bacterial small subunit ribosomal RNA", at positions 530 to 1007 of the family's 1533-position model. The record is from RNAcentral. Lineage: Bacteria; Bacillati; Bacillota.